AAGUCGUAACAAGGUUUCCGUAGGUGAACCUGCGGAAGGAUCAUUAACGAAUUGUUUUACAAUUUACCCUGUGAACCGGAAGGGGUAUCGAGAGUGAUAAGGAAAACGCAAGUGGACCUGUCCCCUCGUGCCUCUUACAUAUUUACGUUGGUCAGUUGGUUUAUUAAGAGAAAUAAAAAACACAACUUUUAACAAUGGAUCUCUUGGCUCUU
RNAcentral lists this unclassified non-coding RNA (212 nucleotides) under fungal sp. RNAcentral describes it as "partial internal transcribed spacer region". The stretch from base 1 to 46 matches the Rfam family "Eukaryotic small subunit ribosomal RNA", at positions 1786 to 1831 of the family's 1831-position model. Lineage: Eukaryota; Fungi. The record is from RNAcentral.